UACGUAGGGGGCGAGCGUUAUCCGGAUUCACUGGGCGUAAAGCGGGCGUAGGCGGCCUGUUAAGUCUGAUGUGAAAUCUCCUGGCUUAACUGGGAGGGUGCAUUAGAUACUGAUGGGCUGGAGUGCAGCAGAGGAAAGUGGAAUUCCCGGUGUAGUGGUGAAAUGCGUAGAUAUCGGGAGGAACACUAGUGGCGAAGGCGGCUUUCUGGGCUGUAACUGACGCUGAGGUCCGAAGGCGCGGGGAGCAAACAGG
This 253-nucleotide ribosomal RNA is filed under the name uncultured bacterium. RNAcentral describes it as "partial 16S ribosomal RNA". It matches the Rfam family "Bacterial small subunit ribosomal RNA", at positions 524 to 776 of the family's 1533-position model. The record is from RNAcentral.